This is an RNA transcript of Magnolia sinica, 1519 nucleotides long. RefSeq lists it as uncharacterized. The transcript has 10 exons. The record is from RefSeq and is a predicted model, not a curated record. Lineage: Eukaryota; Viridiplantae; Streptophyta; Magnoliopsida; Magnoliales; Magnoliaceae.
UCUCUCCCCGUUCUAACUUCUAAGGCAUUCUAUUUUUCUUUUCCAACAGAAGAGAGUCCUCCACCAUUCUCGUCGUAGAGAGAAAUCGAGCCCCAGAUGCACUGGGGUGCGCUCCUCUGCGACCAGAAGCUGGACGCAGCCACUGUAUCAAAUCCCCGCCGUCCAUCUCUCCUCCACGAAUGGACCAUAGUGCAUCUUAAGAAAUGGAUGGAUCUUCUCCUAGUCUGCAGUAUUCCAUCCCUUUCCUUGUAAACCUCUCAGCCUCUGCUGCUUUAUUCUCCAUCUUAAGCGACGUCCUGAUCUCUCUCACCAUUCCAUUCACCAAUGCCACGAUGUUCAUCACGACAGCUAUCGCGGUCAUGGCCCUUGGCAAGGAGACAUGUGUCUGGCAUGCGUUGUUAGGAUAUGGGUAUGACUUCAUAAAAUACACAAAUAGUGAUGGAGCAAGCAAAAUAAGCCCCAGAUCUUAUAGCACUCUCACACAAAUUUAAAGUUACCGCCAUGGAGCUGAUCUCCGUUCUUGAGCAGGGUGCAACGUUGGUGUCAAUCAAGCCAUCGGGGCAGAGCACCGGGUCGAAUAGGAAGGAAACAGAGGCUGUAAUUGGCUUUGUGCUUGGGCAGAAAUCUGGGCCCGACACGAUUCAAUCCGGCUAAUCUACGCUUACACAUGUUGCCCUUUUUAAUGGAAGAGAUCUGAGUUUUAACAACUUGACCGGAAAAUUUCCUGAAAACUCUGAUUUGUUGCCUUCAAUAAAUUUUAUAUACAAUAUUGUUGUCUACUAUAGGUACCUUACUAACAAUAAGAUGACCGGAGAUAUACCCCAAGUGGAUAUUGAGAAGCACAACACGCAUGAAUUUGGUUUCCAGUUAUUCGUCUAUUGAAAACAGCUUGUAAAAUCCUCUCCCAACUCUACUUCUGAUUGCAUUUGAGCUGCCAAGAACUGCCUCUGACUUUGCUUGUUUUGAUUUAAAACUGAUUAGUAUCAUCCUACUUCUCUUUUUUGUAGUAUUGCUUCAUGCUUCAAGAAGAACCUACCCUGCUCUAAAAAAGCAUAAUAUACUGGAGUACUCCUCUUUGAUGAAUUUGAGGAUCCCUACAUACUUGACAAUUUUCAUGUGAAUAGUGGGGUCCUAACAAGUGGCAGGGAUAAUUUCUUCUGUUUGAAUUUUCAAAUGGGUAGUGCUAUGGCUGCUUGUGAUUGUAGUAAUUCGAAUCCUGCUUGGCACAUGUGGCCUUAGUGGAGCUUUUGGAGUUGCAGAUGCUCAUGUGCAAGGGUGCCAGAAUGGUUGGCGAUCUGUCCUUCAUGACUCUGGAACUCAUCCAAGUACCAGAUUAGCCAUUAUAUGAAUUUGGUGUGCUUUUCACUUUUUUUUUUUUUUCUUUUCAAUUAAUUAGAUUGUUUACACUACUUGUACGAAUUUGCUUAUUCUUCUGGAACUACAGUCAUUUUUGGCUGCUCAUGGGGCUCUAAUGUCUACUUUGAGGUUAAUUUCUAAGUAUGAUAUAUGUCUUCUAUUA